Sinocyclocheilus anshuiensis is the source of this 1175-nucleotide long non-coding RNA. RefSeq lists it as uncharacterized. The record is from RefSeq and is a predicted model, not a curated record. Lineage: Eukaryota; Metazoa; Chordata; Actinopteri; Cypriniformes; Cyprinidae. The transcript is spliced from 3 exons.
UUAUUUUGAAACUCGUUAGUGCCGUGUUUCAGGAAGUUAAAAAGUGGAGAUGCUUUAGCUUUUUACUAGCAAUCAACACGUCUUUUUGUUUUAUUUGAGAGUUAAACAUGCGUGCAGAUAUGGCUGUGGACUGGUUUGGUUAUGGUUAUGCAGCUCUAAUAACGAUAGGAGGGGUUGUUGGUUAUGUUAAAGCAGGUAGUUUUUAUCUCUGGUUGCUGGGCUGAUGUUUGGCAUUGCAGCAUUUGUUGGUGCUUAUCAGAUGUCAAAGUAUGACAAGGAUAUCUGGGUUUCACUGGGCACCUCUGGAUCACUGACUGCUCUAAUGGGAGUGAGAUUUUUUGAGUUCAUGGAAGAUUAUGCCAGCUGGACUCAUGGCAGGAGCGAGGCAGGGAUAUUUUAUUUUAGCUGUUUGUUAUUUAUAUAUUAUGUAUGAUUUUUUUUUCCAAAAUUUUCAUUCAAAAAGACUUCCCAGAUAUCCAUAAUGUUGAUAUACAGACAAAAAAAAACAAUAUUUACAUAUGCUAUACUUGACAUUAACAUGGACAAAUGCAUUGUUUUGGUUGUUGAAUUAUGUUUUGUUCUUUGUCUUUGUUGAUGUUCCUGAGGAUUGGUGUGAAAGUGCUACAGAAUUCACAAAAGAAGAAACGAUGACACCAUUCAGAAACUACUUGCAGAUCCUGCUGAGAUGCACUGACACAGAUAUAUAUAUAUAUACUGACAUGUAUAGACAUUUCAUACAAGUUGUGUGAAGAAGACAACAAAAUUCAGUUUAGGGUCAUAUGGAAGUGCCUUCAUAACUAGAUGAACAAAUUAAAGCAAAUAAAAUGUAUUACUUUAUUGAGAUUCAAAUAGUUGUUGAUUUAUGUACGCUACAUAUUUACACAUUACAGAUGAUAUCCAUAUUCACCAUCUUGGGUAAUUGGUAAUUCCUCAAAAAUAUUUAGUAAUAUCAGGUACAGAUUUGUAACUCUUAUCUAAAAGUUUUAUAACCAAAGACAUCAUUAAUACAGCGUAUUGUUAGUCACAGACUGAGAUGUAUUUACUUUGACCUAUAGAGGGCCCCAAAAUCUUUAAAUAAAACCAGUAUUUUUAUUAUUAUUGUUCUUUUUAAAGCAUAUAAAGAUGUAUCAUAUUUGACACUUUUUUAUUAAAACAUAUUCUCACUACAAAUCACA